Molecule: long non-coding RNA, 1540 nt
Organism: Gymnodraco acuticeps
Lineage: Eukaryota; Metazoa; Chordata; Actinopteri; Perciformes; Bathydraconidae
Exons: 8
Source: RefSeq, a predicted model, not a curated record
UGAGACAUUUCCAUUCCUUAUAUGCAAAUGAACGGGGCGUGGUUAGCUCACAGGUCCAGAGACCCAGACCAAAGCAACAGCACCACACUGACUACUCGAGAAGAGGAAGAAAAUGGAGGAGAAGGACUAUAAGGCAAACUACUAAAUGAAAAUAACAACAUGGAAGACGUUGGUGGGCUCCAAGACUUAACUGGUUCUUAUCUGGUCUUCUCUGGUCUUAUCUGGUCCGCCCAAUGCUGCUCUUCUGAGAGCAACCGCUCUGACAGCUCUCUGUAGUCUCUACUGGGAGCUAAAAAGUCAGCUAAAAGUCCUUCUGGAGGUCCUUCAACGCUACACAAUUACACCCAGUCUGAGAGUAAAAUAUGUCUCGAAGGCUUUGCAUUUGAACUCCUAUGACUGGUUGCGGACUUGAAGGGAACGCCUUCCUGACAUCCAGGAAAAAGUUGUAUUGGACAGGCAGUAGAGAUCUACUGGAAACAGUGGAGAGGGAGGAGAUGAUAUGCAGCAUACGGCCCAGCCGGAUGGUUGCUGCUCCGUGUGGAACGUGUCCUAUCAGGUGUAACAUCUACCAAUGGUUGUACAUGACAGAGACCUCCUCCACCUCUUUGCUGUCUUACUAGUCAAUCUUUCUGAUCAGGUCCUUUCCUAAAUAGUGAAAGGAUCAUGCCAGCCCACAUCAAACACCUGAUCAAGAGCUUGUGAACCUCACUGCUGCAGACACCUGUGUGAUAUUCCACUCUGACUGGAACCCUCAAAAUGACCUGCAGGCUCAAGCUCGGUUCGUCAUCGUUUUGGCCAGUCUAAGGCGGUGGAGGUGUACCGUCUGAUCACUAGAAACUAUGAGAGGGAAAUGCUGGAUAAAGCUAGUCUGAAGCUCGGGCUGGACCGUCCCGUCCUGCAGAGCAUGAGUGGCAACAACAACAACGGGCCGGUCCAGCAGUUCUCCAAGAAGGAGAUCGAGGACCUGCUGAGGAAAGGAGCCUACGCCGCCAUCAUGGACGAGAACGACGAAGGCAAUCGCUUCUGCUAGGAGGACAACGACCAGAUCCUGCAGCGAAGAGCCACCAUCAACACCAUCACCAGUUUGCUUCAAGCAGUGGCUGCACGAGAAAGACGUGGAGGACCAAGAGAUGCUGGCCAGAUUGGCAAAGACCGGAAGAUACAUAACAGAGAAGAUAAUGGAUAUUAACAAGAAAAAGAAAAACAUUUUUAAUAAUUUCUUUGUUGCUGUUUACAUUUUGAAUUAUAUUUGUUAUUUUUAAAUCAAAUGCAUCUAUUUUAAAUCUGUGUAUCUACCGUCCAAUUGUUUUUCUUUAUUAAACACGUAAACGGAAGAGCGUUUGAGAGGCCUUUUUGCUUUUUGCUUUUUACCUUACUAAAUGGUCUAAUGGUCAGUGCAACGGGGGGCGGGACCAAACUCACGGAAGUGAUUUCAAAACAAAAGCGGUGAUAAUAUUAUAAACAAAGGGAAACAAGGUGAAUUUAUCGAUCACAACGAAAACGGCCAAGACACAUAUUGAGCCCAGAAAAUGGAUGUUAU